CAAAGCCGCAGAUCGCUCCACCGCUGUGCGCAGCCCCCUGCUGAGGGGCCAGCGGCUCUCCCUGGGACCCCAGAACCUUAACACAAUUCUGAGGUGGAAGAAAUGGGGAACACCAGGCCUGGCCUCAUGGAGACCGGGGAGUCAGAACCUGAGCUCUGGCUCCUGGAGCUGCUGCGAGUGAGUGGUGGAAACCUGCCCCCUUAGAGAAGCUGCAGCUGAUCAGCAUCAUGCAAGGGACUGCUGAGAUGGUAGCAUGCUGGUAAUGAAGUGUUAUGGAGCCACUCCAUCCUUUAUUCAUCCUUUUCCUCAUACACACAGAGAGCAAAGCACAGGAACCAGCUACAGAAUUUGCAAGUGGAGAAUCCAGGUACCUUUAAAAGUCUAUUUAGUGAAAAUCUCUGGCUAUUGAUGUGACGGUUAAUUUUAUGUGCCAACUUGGCUAGGCCAUGGUACCCAGUUUUUCAUAAAAGAUCAGUCUAGAUGUUGUGAAGGUAUAUUUUUAAAUGUGAUUAACAUUUUAUUCAGUGGACUUCAAGUAAAGCAGAUUAUCC
Molecule: long non-coding RNA, 551 nt
Filed under: Homo sapiens (human)
Lineage: Eukaryota; Metazoa; Chordata; Mammalia; Primates; Hominidae
Description: DST antisense RNA 1
Source: RNAcentral